Suillus subluteus is the source of this 85-nucleotide non-coding RNA. The record is from the annotation of a GenBank genome assembly. Lineage: Eukaryota; Fungi; Basidiomycota; Agaricomycetes; Boletales; Suillaceae.
GCCCUUGUUGUCUAAUGGUUAUGACGUCAGACUUCUACUACUGAAGUGUAUCUGGAGGUUGCGGGUUCGAGUCCCGCCAGGGGUU